CCACGGGCUGUCGCUCUGCAGUCGACGGCAGCGCGAGAGAGCUUGCUCUCUUGGCGGCGAGUGGCGGACGGGUGAGUAAUAUAUCGGAACGUGCCCAGUAGCGGGGGAUAACUACUCGAAAGAGUGGCUAAUACCGCAUACGCCCUACGGGGGAAAGGGGGGGAUCGCAAGACCUCUCACUAUUGGAGCGGCCGAUAUCGGAUUAGCUAGUUGGUGGGGUAAAGGCUCACCAAGGCAACGAUCCGUAGCUGGUUUGAGAGGACGACCAGCCACACUGGGACUGAGACACGGCCCAGACUCCUACGGGAGGCAGCAGUGGGGAAUUUUGGACAAUGGGGGAAACCCUGAUCCAGCCAUCCCGCGUGUAUGAUGAAGGCCUUCGGGUUGUAAAGUACUUUUGGCAGAGAAGAAAAGGUAUCCCCUAAUACGGGAUACUGCUGACGGUAUCUGCAGAAUAAGCACCGGCUAACUACGUGCCAGCAGCCGCGGUAAUACGUAGGGUGCAAGCGUUAAUCGGAAUUACUGGGCGUAAAGCGUGUGUAGGCGGUUCGGAAAGAAAGAUGUGAAAUCCCAGGGCUCAACCUUGGGAACUGCAUUUUUAACUGCCGAGCUAGAGUAUGUCAGAGGGGGGGUAGAAUUCCACGUGUAGCAGUGAAAUGCGUAAAUAUGUGGAGGAAUACCGAUGGCCAAGGCAGCCUCCCUGGGAUAAUACUGACGCUCAGACACGAAAGCGUGUGGAGCAGACAGAUUAGAUACCCUGGUAGUCCACGCCCUAACGAUGUCUACUAGCUGAUUGGGGCCGUUAGGCCUUACUAGCGCAGCUUAACGCGUGAAGCUGACCGACCUGGGGAGUACGGUCGCAAGCAUUAAGAACUUCAAACGGAAUUGACUGGGCAACCCCGCACAAGCCGUUGGAUGAUGGUGGGAUUUAUUCGAAUGCAACGCUGAAAAGGCUUACCUAUCCUUGACAUGGUCUGGGAAGCCAUAAAACAGUUUGGUCUGAUGCUCGCAAGUACAAACUGGCACCUAUCAUCGUGCUUGCAAUGCGUGAUCUUCAACUCGUGUCCGUGAGAUGAUGAUUUAACGUCCAGGAUCGA
RNAcentral lists this ribosomal RNA (1097 nucleotides) under Alcaligenes faecalis. Its description in RNAcentral is "bacterial SSU rRNA". It matches the Rfam family "Bacterial small subunit ribosomal RNA", at positions 40 to 1095 of the family's 1533-position model. The record is from RNAcentral. Lineage: Bacteria; Pseudomonadati; Pseudomonadota; Betaproteobacteria; Burkholderiales; Alcaligenaceae.